This 341-nucleotide ribosomal RNA is filed under the name uncultured Anoxybacillus sp. RNAcentral's name for it is "bacterial SSU rRNA". It matches the Rfam family "Bacterial small subunit ribosomal RNA", at positions 1040 to 1382 of the family's 1533-position model. The record is from RNAcentral. Lineage: Bacteria; Bacillati; Bacillota; Bacilli; Caryophanales; Anoxybacillaceae.
GGUGCAUGGUUGUCGUCAGCUCGUGUCGUGAGAUGUUGGGUUAAGUCCCGCAACGAGCGCAACCCUCGACCUUAGUUGCCAGCAUUCAGUUGGGCACUCUAAGGUGACUGCCGGCUAAAAGUCGGAGGAAGGUGGGGAUGACGUCAAAUCAUCAUGCCCCUUAUGACCUGGGCUACACACGUGCUACAAUGGGCGGUACAAAGGGUCGCGAACCCGCGAGGGGGAGCCAAUCCCAAAAAGCCGCUCUCAGUUCGGAUUGCAGGCUGCAACUCGCCUGCAUGAAGCCGGAAUCGCUAGUAAUCGCGGAUCAGCAUGCCGCGGUGAAUACGUUCCCGGGCCUU